CCUACGGGAGGCAGCAGUGGGGAAUCUUGCGCAAUGGGCGAAAGCCUGACGCAGCAACGCCGCGUGCGGGAUGAAGGCCUUCGGGCUGUAAACCGCUUUCAGCAGGAACGAAAAUGACGGUACCUGCAGAAGAAGGAGCGGCCAACUACGUGCCAGCAGCCGCGGUGACACGUAGGCUCCAAGCGUUGUCCGGAUUUAUUGGGCGUAAAGAGCUCGUAGGCGGUCUAGUAAGUCGGGUGUGAAAACUCUGGGCUCAACCCAGAGACGCCAUCCGAUACUGCUGUGACUUGAGUUCAGGAGGGGAGCGGGGAAUUCCUAGUGUAGCGGUGAAAUGCGCAGAUAUUAGGAGGAACACCGGUGGCGAAGGCGCCGCUCUGGACUGAAACUGACGCUGAGGAGCGAAAGCAUGGGUAGCAAACAGGAUUAGAUACCCUGGUAGUCCAUGCCGUAAACGGUGGGCACUAGGUGUGGGUUUCAACUAACGAAAUCCGCGCCGUCGCUAACGCAUUAAGUGCCCCGCCUGGGGAGUACGGUCGCAAGACUAAAACUUAAAUGAAUUGACGG
RNAcentral lists this ribosomal RNA (564 nucleotides) under uncultured bacterium. RNAcentral describes it as "bacterial SSU rRNA". It matches the Rfam family "Bacterial small subunit ribosomal RNA", at positions 338 to 916 of the family's 1533-position model. The record is from RNAcentral.